RNAcentral lists this ribosomal RNA (876 nucleotides) under uncultured Eubacterium sp. RNAcentral's name for it is "bacterial SSU rRNA". It matches the Rfam family "Bacterial small subunit ribosomal RNA", at positions 8 to 898 of the family's 1533-position model. The record is from RNAcentral. Lineage: Bacteria; Bacillati; Bacillota; Clostridia; Eubacteriales; Eubacteriaceae.
AGAGUUUGAUCAUGGCUCAGGAUGAACGCUGGCGGCGUGCCUAACACAUGCAAGUCGAGCAGAAGCUCUUGACGGAUCCUUCGGGUGACGGAUAGAGCGGAAAGCGGCGGACGGGUGAGUACGCGUAGGCAACCUGCCCUUCACAGAGGGAUAGCCUCGGGAAACCGGGAUUAAAACCUCUAAUGCCACGAAGAGACAUCUCUUUGUGGCCAAAGAUUUAUCGGUGAAGGAUGGGCCUGCUCUGAUUAGUUAGUUGGUGGGGUAACGGCCUACCAAGGCGACGAUCAGUAGCCGACCUGAAGGGUGAUCGGCCACAUUGGAACUGAGACACGGUCCAAACUCCUACGGGAGGCAGCAGUGGGAAUAUUGCACAAUGGGGGAAACCCUGAUGCAGCAACGCCGCGUGAAGGAAGAAGGCCUCGGGUCGUAAACUUCUGUCCUUGGGGAAGAAACAAAUGACGGUACCCUUGGAGGAAGCCCGGCUAACUACGUGCCAGCAGCCGCGGUAAUACGUAGGGGGCAAGCGUUAUCCGGAAUUAUGGGCGUAAAGAGUACGUAGGCGGUUCUUUAAGCGCAGGGUUUAAGGCAAUGGCUCAACCAUGUUCGCCCUGUGAACUGGGGGACUUGAGUAUCGGAGAGGAAAGCGGAAUUCCUAGUGUACGGUGAAAUGCGUAGAUAUUAGGAGGAACACCAGUGGCGAAGGCGGCUUUCUGGACGAAUCUGACGCUGAGGUACGAAAGCGUGGGGAGCAAACAGGAUUAGAUACCCUGGUAGUCCACGCGUAAACGAUGAGCACUAGGUGUCGGGGCCGCAAGGUUUCGGUGCCGCAGUUAACGCAUUAGUGCUCCGCCUGGGGAGUACGCACGCAAGUGUGAA